This 23-nucleotide small nuclear RNA is filed under the name Arabidopsis thaliana (thale cress). Its description in RNAcentral is "snRNA_10176". The record is from RNAcentral. Lineage: Eukaryota; Viridiplantae; Streptophyta; Magnoliopsida; Brassicales; Brassicaceae.
UUUUAACAUGUUUCAUGCGAUUU